AGAGUUUGUAUCCUGGCUCAGGACGAACGCUGGCGGCACGCUUAACACAUGCAAGUCGAACGGACUUGAGAGGGCUUGCUCUCUAAGUUAGUGGCGACGGGUGAGUAACACGUGAGCAACCUGCCUUUAAGAGUGGGAUAACGGUCGGAAACGACCGCUAAUACCGCAUAACAUACACGAACCGCAUGGUUUGUGUAUCAAAGAUUUAUCGCUUAAAGAUGGGCUCGCGUCUGAUUAGCUUGUUGGUGAGGUAACGGCUCACCAAGGCGACGAUCAGUAGCCGUACUGAGAGGUAGAACGGCCACAUUGGGACUGAGACACGGCCCAGACUCCUACGGGAGGCAGCAGUGGGGAAUAUUGCACAAUGGAGGAAACUCUGAUGCAGCGAUGCCGCGUGAGGGAAGAAGGUUUUCGGAUUGUAAACCUCUGUCUUAAGGGACGAUAAUGACGGUACCUUAGGGGGAAGCUCCGGCUAACUACGUG
RNAcentral lists this ribosomal RNA (483 nucleotides) under uncultured Eubacteriales bacterium. RNAcentral describes it as "bacterial SSU rRNA". It matches the Rfam family "Bacterial small subunit ribosomal RNA", at positions 8 to 507 of the family's 1533-position model. The record is from RNAcentral. Lineage: Bacteria; Bacillati; Bacillota; Clostridia; Eubacteriales.